GAUGAACGCUGGCGGCGUGCUUAACACAUGCAAGUCGAACGAGAAGUGAAGACGGAAACCUUCGGGCGGAAGGCUUUAUUUCGAGUGGCGGACGGGUGAGUAACGCGUGGGUAACCUGCCUCAUACAGGGGGAUAACAGUUGGAAACGACUGUUAAUACCGCAUAAGACCACAGCACCGCAUGGUGCGGGGGUAAAAACUCCGGUGGUAUGAGAUGGACCCGCGUUCGAUUAGCCAGUUGGCGGGGUAACGGCCCACCUAAGCGACGAUCGAUAGCCGAUCUGAGAGGAUGACCGGCCACAUUGGGACUGAGACACGGCCCAAACUCCUACGGGAGGCAGCAGUGGGGAAUAUUGCACAAUGGGGGAAACCCUGAUGCAGCGACGCCGCGUGAGUGAAGAAGUAUUUCGGUAUGUAAAGCUCUAUCAGCAGGGAAGAAAAUGACGGUACCUGAGUAAGAAGCCCCGGCUAACUACGUG
RNAcentral lists this ribosomal RNA (478 nucleotides) under uncultured bacterium. RNAcentral's name for it is "partial 16S ribosomal RNA". It matches the Rfam family "Bacterial small subunit ribosomal RNA", at positions 28 to 507 of the family's 1533-position model. The record is from RNAcentral.